CGGGACNGGCGGGGCUCGAACCCGCAGC
RNAcentral lists this transfer RNA (28 nucleotides) under Streptocarpus primulifolius. RNAcentral describes it as "partial tRNA-Asp". Lineage: Eukaryota; Viridiplantae; Streptophyta; Magnoliopsida; Lamiales; Gesneriaceae. The record is from RNAcentral.